CGCUGGGAUGGAUUCCUCCUCGUCUUCCUCGGCGGCGGGCUUGGACACUGUGGACCCACAGUUGCAGCAUUUCAUCGAGGUGGAGACACAGAAGCAGCGCUUUCAACAGCUAGUGCACCAGAUGGUGGAACUUUGUUGGGAAAAGUGCAUGGACAAGCCUGGGCCAAAGUUGGACAGUCAGGCUGAGGCCUGUUUUGUGAACUGUUGAGCGCUUCAUUGAUACAAGCCAAUUCAUCUUGAAUCGACUGGAACAGACCCAGAAAUCCAAGCCAGUUUUCUCAGAAAGCCUUUCUGACUGA
This is an RNA transcript of Chrysochloris asiatica (Cape golden mole), 299 nucleotides long. It is a transcript of the gene named mitochondrial import inner membrane translocase subunit Tim8 A-like, with no coding region annotated. The record is from RefSeq and is a predicted model, not a curated record. The transcript has a single exon. Lineage: Eukaryota; Metazoa; Chordata; Mammalia; Afrosoricida; Chrysochloridae.